Molecule: ribosomal RNA, 468 nt
Filed under: uncultured bacterium
Lineage: Bacteria
Description: partial 16S ribosomal RNA
Rfam family: Bacterial small subunit ribosomal RNA
Source: RNAcentral
GACGAACGCUGGCGGCGUGCUUAACACAUGCAAGUCGAACGGAAAGGCCCUGCUUUUGUGGGAUGCUCGAGUGGCGAACGGGUGAGUAACACGUGAGUAACCUGCCCUUGACUUUGGGAUAACUUCAGGAAACAGGGGCUAAUAACGGAUAGGAGAUCCUGCUGCAUGGGGGGGGUUGGAAAGAUUCGGCGGUUGGGGAUGGACUCGCGGCUUAGCAGCUUGUUGGUGGGGUAGUGGCUUACCCAGGCUUUGACGGGUAGACGGCCUGAGAGGGUGACCGGCCCCAUUGGGACUGGGGUACGGCCCAGACUCCUACUGGAGGCAGCGGUGGGGAAUAUUGCACAAUGGGCGGCAGCCUGAUGCAGCAACGCCGCGUGCGGGAUGACGGCCUUCGGGUUGUAAACCGCUUUCGCCUGUGACGCUGCGUGAGUGACGGUAAUUGGUCAAGAAGCACCGGCUAACUACGUG